AGGAAUGUAGCUUACUGGUAGAGUGCUUGCCUAGCAUGCAUGAAGUCCUGGGUUCAAUUCCCCAGUCCCA
Molecule: transfer RNA, 70 nt
Filed under: Dipodomys ordii (Ord's kangaroo rat)
Lineage: Eukaryota; Metazoa; Chordata; Mammalia; Rodentia; Heteromyidae
Rfam family: tRNA
About the family: Transfer RNA (tRNA) molecules are approximately 80 nucleotides in length. Their secondary structure includes four short double-helical elements and three loops (D, anti-codon, and T loops). Further hydrogen bonds mediate the characteristic L-shaped molecular structure. tRNAs have two regions of fundamental functional importance: the anti-codon, which is responsible for specific mRNA codon recognition, and the 3' end, to which the tRNAs corresponding amino acid is attached (by aminoacyl-tRNA synthetases). tRNAs cope with the degeneracy of the genetic code in two manners: having more than one tRNA (with a specific anti-codon) for a particular amino acid; and 'wobble' base-pairing, i.e. permitting non-standard base-pairing at the 3rd anti-codon position.
Source: Rfam by way of RNAcentral